AUCAGCUGGAUGGGGGACACGUCCAAUCAAUUUUAUAACACAAUAAUGCCCUUUCUGGGUUGAUCUACUGUAUUGAACCUGAGAGGGCAACUGCAGAAUCUGAAACCAGAGGGUGCAGGUUUGCUGGGGGUGGUCAGGCAGUGCCAGGAAUUCACUGAAAACAGAUUUUGCUUCAUCUGGUGAAUUUUGUGGAAAAGUCGGGAACAGGGAGAGCAACUUCCAGCCAGGACUGCCAGUUCCUGCCUCUGGGUGGCUGGGAAGAAGCUGCUGAACUUCAACCCAAGAUUCUCUUCAAAUUGCUCCAUGUCUUUCCCAAAAUGUGGUGCCCAACAUGGAAUAAAUCAACCCAGCCAAGACCAGAGGAGUGUGGAAGGAUUAUUUCCCAUGUCUUACUAUUUCCCCAAUGUCUGCCAGUGCUCAAAUCCAGGAUUGAAGAAGAUGUUUUCUACUGCUGUUGUAGAUGGAUGCUGCUGGUGAAUCAGCACGUGAAAUAAUGAUCUUUGGAAUAACCAAAUCCCUCCAGGUUUCAGUUUUACCUGAAGGGAUGAUGUGCCAGCAAAAGAGAAAUGCAAGAUACAUUAAAAUAAUAAAGCAAUGUUACUACAUGGAGUAAA
Manacus vitellinus (golden-collared manakin) is the source of this 614-nucleotide long non-coding RNA. RefSeq lists it as uncharacterized. NCBI's taxonomy places the organism in Eukaryota, Metazoa, Chordata, Aves, Passeriformes, Pipridae. The transcript is spliced from 4 exons. The record is from RefSeq and is a predicted model, not a curated record.